RNAcentral lists this ribosomal RNA (167 nucleotides) under uncultured cyanobacterium. RNAcentral describes it as "partial 16S ribosomal RNA". It matches the Rfam family "Bacterial small subunit ribosomal RNA", at positions 164 to 348 of the family's 1533-position model. Lineage: Bacteria; Bacillati; Cyanobacteriota. The record is from RNAcentral.
UAGUACCCCAUAUGCCGAGAGGUGAAAUGAAAUUCGCCUGAGGAUGAGCCCGCGUCUGAUUAGCUAGUUGGUGGGGUAAGAGCCUACCAAGGCGACGAUCAGUAGCUGGUCUGAGAGGAUGAUCAGCCACACUGGGACUGAGACACGGCCCAGACUCCUACGGGAGG